UGUAAAUCAGAAGCCCUAAACCCUUCACCGCCACCUCCAUUUUCAGACGAAGAAGCUGCAACGAGUCCAAAACUCAGUUGAAGCAAAAGCAUGAUCCGAGUCGCGAGACCAAAACCCGUUAUGGACUCACUGAGUCACCACCUUCUCCAGAGAUGCUCCGCUAGUGGAACCCCUAAGGGAAAGGCGAAGCUGAAGGCGGGUCAACCGCUCAAGCGCAACAAGGUAUCCACGAAGAAAGGCGGUGGCGGCGGAGAUGGCGAUGAUAUGGUCAAAGGAAAGGGACGGAUCUCCGACGAGAAACAGAAGCUCUUCGACUCGUGCCUCAGCGCGCCUUGCCCAGUUCGCCAUUUACCGCCAAAGGCGAAGGAGAGAGAAGCCGAGCGCCAGAAGCUAGGGUUGAUCAGCAAGGAAACUCAGAGGGAGAUCGAGAUCCGGAAGAAAGGAGGACGAGCCGCCAUGGGAGUCCCCGACGAACCUUUGCCGAUGGGGACGACGGGAUUGGAUCUCAUUUCGUUGGGGCUCGUCGACGCCGAGAAGAUACCGAAGUACGCGCUGACGGUGGAGGACGGAAGAAGGCUGGCGAAGGAGUACAGUCGGGUGCUGAUGAGACGGCACAGAGCGAGGCAAGCGGCGGAGUCUAAUCUGCUGAAGAUGAAGAAGGCGGCGAUCGAGGCGUUGCCGGAGAAGCUGAGGGAAGCGGCGUUGGUGCCGGAUUUGACGCCUUUUCCGGCGAACCGAUUCAUGGCGACUCUGACGCCGCCCAUUGAAGGGUAUCUUGAGAAGGUGAUGGAGGCAGCGAAGAAGAGCUCCGGCAAAGAGAAGUUGAGAUGAUGCAAAAAGUUGGCAAUCUCUCUCUGUGUGUAUAUGCCUUCAGUUCAUGUGAGGUUAAUGUUGGAUCUUUAGGAAGCUAUAAGAAGUUUGCAUUGAAGCAAAAUCCGGUUGAGAGCAAUUUCAAGAUGUGCCACAACAACAGAAAUACUUGACAGAAUGCCAAAAGAGAAAUACCUCAAGAAGCGAUGAUCUUCAGAAGUUCCGAGACUUAAUAAGUAUGUGUUGUUAUGAAGUGUUUGGCUAUUUGAACCAAGUCCUUUUUGUCUUUGUUUCCAUCACAAAUCUCUUUAUUGGUAAGAACUAGGUAUGACCCGCGCGAUGCGCGGUUUAUUCUUUUU
This is an RNA transcript of Tarenaya hassleriana, 1169 nucleotides long. RefSeq lists it as uncharacterized. Lineage: Eukaryota; Viridiplantae; Streptophyta; Magnoliopsida; Brassicales; Cleomaceae. The record is from RefSeq and is a predicted model, not a curated record. The transcript has 3 exons.